CUCGUAGGUGGCCAACUAAGUCAGACGUGAAAUCCCCAGGCUUAACCUGGGAACUGCGUCUGAUACUGGAUGGCUUGAAUUCGGGAGAGGGAUGCAGAAUUCCAGGUGUAGCGGUGAAAUGCGUAGAUAUCUGGAGGAAUACCGGUGGCGAAGGCGGCAUCUUGGACCGAGAUUGACACUGAUGAGCGAAAGCCAGGGGAGCAAACG
RNAcentral lists this ribosomal RNA (207 nucleotides) under uncultured bacterium. RNAcentral's name for it is "partial 16S ribosomal RNA". It matches the Rfam family "Bacterial small subunit ribosomal RNA", at positions 568 to 774 of the family's 1533-position model. The record is from RNAcentral.